Populus nigra (black poplar) is the source of this 675-nucleotide long non-coding RNA. RefSeq lists it as uncharacterized. The transcript has 2 exons. The record is from RefSeq and is a predicted model, not a curated record. NCBI's taxonomy places the organism in Eukaryota, Viridiplantae, Streptophyta, Magnoliopsida, Malpighiales, Salicaceae.
ACCCAAUAAUUGAGGAAAAUAAUAAUAAAAAUGUCCCUUUUUCUCAUUGAAGACAAAGGCAUGUGAGACUCUGGGGGGAGGGGACUACCAGCAUCUUUGGCGCCGGAGCAAGGUGCCCUUCUUUUUUCAUGGGGUGGCGACCACCUGUAAGCGACCUUUCCAUUCCAAUCCACAGGCGAAUUUCUAUGAUAAAGUCAGGCUUUUUUUUAUAUUAAAAAGCAUAGCACGCCGUUCCAUAGAUUCGUUUUGUGAGAGUGAUUUCUAGCAAACUUCAGUCACAAGAAGGAUCGAAUUUAACCCAGAAAGUUCUUACGCACUCACUAGCAAAGCAACUUCUUGUACUCCUGCUUGACCUGCUAAUUCUGCUGGUUGCUUGGAGAUUGGCUUUCCACUCUCUUAGAAUCUCCUCCUCUCAAGGCCGAGUGUUUUUUUUCAUGCAAAAAUCAAAAGUUGACGGAGCCAAUCUGAUGGGAAGGGCACAGGAAUCUGAUGCAAGGAUAGAAGAACUAAGAGUCCGUUUGUUUACGCGGUUGAUAUGUUCAAACUUAUUUGUAUCCCUUCAGUAUGUCUGUUUAUAAACUAGAUUGAUAUGUUCAAACUUUUUUUUUUAUUAAGAAAAUCAGGCGAGACAAAUAAGUUUGCCAACGAAAAUAAAAAUAAUUUUUAAUUUUGUCA